This 422-nucleotide ribosomal RNA is filed under the name uncultured bacterium. RNAcentral's name for it is "bacterial SSU rRNA". It matches the Rfam family "Bacterial small subunit ribosomal RNA", at positions 355 to 774 of the family's 1533-position model. The record is from RNAcentral.
UGAGGAAUAUUGGGCAAUGCCCGCAAGGGUGACCCAGCAACGCCGCGCGGAGGAUGAAUGUCGUAAGAUUGUAAACUCCUGUUAGAGGGGAAGAAUAGUACCGGUUGGACCGGUAUAUGACUGUGCCCUCAGAGAAAGCCCCGGCUAACUACGUGCCAGCAGCCGCGGUAAUACGUAGGGGGCAAGCGUUGUCCGGAUUUACUGGGUGUAAAGGGUGCUCAGGCGGAUUUGUAAGUCAGAGGUGAAAUCUUACAGCUUAACUGUGAAACUGCCUUUGAUACUGCAAGCCUAGAGUAUGGAAGAGAGUGAUGGAAUAUCUGGUGUAGCAGUGAAAUGCGUAGAUAUCAGAUAGAACACCAAUGGCGAAGGCAGUCACUUGGUCCAUUACUGACGCUAAAGCACGAAAGCGUGGGUAGCAAACA